This 303-nucleotide unclassified non-coding RNA is filed under the name Hevea brasiliensis (rubber tree). The record is from RNAcentral. Lineage: Eukaryota; Viridiplantae; Streptophyta; Magnoliopsida; Malpighiales; Euphorbiaceae.
GCUCCAUUUAUGAUUAGAUAAACAACAUAAAGAACAUUCCGUUAUUUGUGAAGGUUAAACAAGAGCUAUCCAAUUAACUGUGCUAGUGAGUGCAAAAGAAACCAUUAAACAUCAUGACGCCCUAAUAGAUGAUAUGGAACAAUUAACAAAUUUAAUAUUCCUAAUAGGCAUUUCUCAAGUCACUCCUGAUAGCAAACAGCAAGAAUCAGAAAAGAAUCUAAUUUCAAACCCUAAUUUUCAUAAUGCAAGACCAUUACAGCACAACUAUCCGAGUAGUUCAAAUAUCAGGCAUCAGAAUCCAAA